RNAcentral lists this ribosomal RNA (1007 nucleotides) under Paraburkholderia sediminicola. RNAcentral describes it as "bacterial SSU rRNA". It matches the Rfam family "Bacterial small subunit ribosomal RNA", at positions 60 to 1061 of the family's 1533-position model. Lineage: Bacteria; Pseudomonadati; Pseudomonadota; Betaproteobacteria; Burkholderiales; Burkholderiaceae. The record is from RNAcentral.
AGUCGAACGGCAGCACGGGAGCAAUCCUGGUGGCGAGUGGCGAACGGGUGAGUAAUACAUCGGAACGUGUCCUGUAGUGGGGGAUAGCCCGGCGAAAGCCGGAUUAAUACCGCAUACGCUCUACGGAGGAAAGGGGGGGAUCUUAGGACCUCUCGCUACAGGGGCGGCCGAUGGCAGAUUAGCUAGUUGGUGGGGUAAAGGCCUACCAAGGCGACGAUCUGUAGCUGGUCUGAGAGGACGACCAGCCACACUGGGACUGAGACACGGCCCAGACUCCUACGGGAGGCAGCAGUGGGGAAUUUUGGACAAUGGGCGCAAGCCUGAUCCAGCAAUGCCGCGUGUGUGAAGAAGGCCUUCGGGUUGUAAAGCACUUUUGUCCGGAAAGAAAACCUCCGCCCUAAUAUGGUGGGGGGAUGACGGUACCGGAAGAAUAAGCACCGGCUAACUACGUGCCAGCAGCCGCGGUAAUACGUAGGGUGCAAGCGUUAAUCGGAAUUACUGGGCGUAAAGCGUGCGCAGGCGGUCCGCUAAGACAGAUGUGAAAUCCCCGGGCUUAACCUGGGAACUGCAUUUGUGACUGGCGGGCUAGAGUAUGGCAGAGGGGGGUAGAAUUCCACGUGUAGCAGUGAAAUGCGUAGAGAUGUGGAGGAAUACCGAUGGCGAAGGCAGCCCCCUGGGCCAAUACUGACGCUCAUGCACGAAAGCGUGGGGAGCAAACAGGAUUAGAUACCCUGGUAGUCCACGCCCUAAACGAUGUCAACUAGUUGUCGGGUCUUCAUUGACUUGGUAACGUAGCUAACGCGUGAAGUUGACCGCCUGGGGAGUACGGUCGCAAGAUUAAAACUCAAAGGAAUUGACGGGGACCCGCACAAGCGGUGGAUGAUGUGGAUUAAUUCGAUGCAACGCGAAAAACCUUACCUACCCUUGACAUGUAUGGAAUUCUGCCGAGAGGUGGGAGUGCCCGAAAGGGAGCCAUAACACAGGUGCUGCAUGGCUGUCGUCAGCUC